AUACAAGGUGCUGCAUGGUUGUCGUCAGCUCGUGCCGUGAGGUGUCGGGUUAAGUCCCAUAACGAGCGCAACCCCUAUCAUUAGUUGCCAUCAGGUCAAGCUGGGGACUCUAAUGAAACUGCCUACGCAAGUAGUGAGGAAGGUGGGGAUGACGUCAAAUCAGCACGGCCCUUACGUCCAGGGCUACACACGUGCUACAAUGGCCGGUACAAAGGGCAGCUACCUGGUGACAGGAUGCUAAUCUCAAAAGCCGGUCUCAGUUCGGAUCGGAGUCUGCAACCCGACUCCGUGAAGCUGGAAUCGCUAGUAAUCGACGCAAUCAGCCAUGGCGCGGUGAAUACGUUCCCGGGCCUU
RNAcentral lists this ribosomal RNA (354 nucleotides) under uncultured Sphingobacteriales bacterium. Its description in RNAcentral is "bacterial SSU rRNA". It matches the Rfam family "Bacterial small subunit ribosomal RNA", at positions 1031 to 1382 of the family's 1533-position model. The record is from RNAcentral. Lineage: Bacteria; Pseudomonadati; Bacteroidota; Sphingobacteriia; Sphingobacteriales.